CCGGAGGAUGCCGAAAAUCCGUUACAGAGUAGGCA
Niastella vici is the source of this 35-nucleotide regulatory RNA element. It matches the Rfam family "DUF805b RNA". From Rfam's summary of the family: Bacteroidetes, Chlorobi (1 example), Proteobacteria. Lineage (Flavobacteria) The record is from Rfam. NCBI's taxonomy places the organism in Bacteria, Pseudomonadati, Bacteroidota, Chitinophagia, Chitinophagales, Chitinophagaceae.